AGAGUUUGAUCAUGGCUCAGAACGAACGCUGGCAGCGUGGAUGAGGCAUGCAAGUCGAACGGUCUUCAGCUGAUAGCAAUAUUAGUUGAUGAUAGUGGCGGAAGGGCGAGUAAUGCGAGAGCAAGCUACCCCUCGGACCGGGACAACGUUUGGAAACGAACGCUAAUACCGGAUACGAAGCGGAACCGCAUGGUUCCGUCUUGAAAGGCGGGGACCCGCAAGGGCCCGUCACCGAAGGAGGUGCUCCCGUGCCAUCAGCUAGUUGGUGAGGUAAUGGCUCACCAAGGCUUACGGCUAGGUGGACUGAGAGGUUGGUCACCCGCACUGGGACUGAGACACUGCCCAGACUCCUACGGGAGGCUGCAGUCGAGGAUCAUUCGCAAUGGGGGAAACCCUGACGAUGCGACGCUGCGUGUAGGAUGAAGGCCUUCGGGUCGUAAACUACUGUCAUGUGGGGCAAGGGUACGGGCACUAAUAGUGCGAUGUACUUGAUGGUACCACAAGAGGAAGCCACGGCUAACUCUGUGCCAGCAGCCGCGGUAAUACAGAGGUGGCGAGCGUUGUUCGGAUUUACUGGGCGUAAAGCGUGCGUAGGCGGUCGCGUAUGUCGGAUGUGAAAUCCC
This 623-nucleotide ribosomal RNA is filed under the name uncultured bacterium. RNAcentral describes it as "bacterial SSU rRNA". It matches the Rfam family "Bacterial small subunit ribosomal RNA", at positions 8 to 603 of the family's 1533-position model. The record is from RNAcentral.